GGGUGAGGCGGAGAGACAGAGCGGGAAGGGAAACAGGAUGGGGAGAGUCAAGAGGGGAAGGGAAGCGGGAGUCGGGGUGCGAGCCUGCCCUUUCCCCCGCCGAGGGCCUGUGCGGGGCGCGGCGGCCGCGCCAACUCCGGCGUCGGGAACACUCACCGCAGGACGCUUUGCCCUCCUUGGAAUCGCAGUAGCCGCAGUGGUAGCCGGCCCUGAGGCCCUUGUAUUCCACCACCGACGCCAUGGCCGCCGCGAGGGUCCGCUCGGGCCGACCACGCCUCUUGGCGCCCGGGGCCGACCUCGGCGAAGCGCUGGGGCCCGCGGCGGGAGGGGUGGAGAGCGAAGCCUGGCGCGGGGACCCGUGGGCGGGGAUGGUGGUCGUGUCCCCAAGCCCUGCGUUUGGGCCGGUGCUUCCCACAGCUGUGCGUUAUCAGCCCCAUUUCACAGGUAAGGAAACUGAGGACCGGAGGUUGUGAUUAUCCCAAAGUCAUUCCCGGCGGGUCUCGGAUUGAAAGUCAGGCCGCCCCUGGCCACCGUGUAAGUGACUUGCUGGAGCUGCUUCCAGACCAGCUGGCACGCACUCCAGUGCCCUGAAUACAAGAACACAAGCAGAACUAGAGAUGUCUC
RNAcentral lists this long non-coding RNA (624 nucleotides) under Homo sapiens (human). RNAcentral's name for it is "long non-coding RNA NONHSAT016711.2". The record is from RNAcentral. Lineage: Eukaryota; Metazoa; Chordata; Mammalia; Primates; Hominidae.